GUGGGGAAUCUUGCGCAAUGGGCGAAAGCCUGACGCAGCCAUGCCGCGUGAAUGAUGAAGGUCUUAGGAUUGUAAAAUUCUUUCACCGGGGACGAUAAUGACGGUACCCGGAGAAGAAGCCCCGGCUAACUUCGUGCCAGCAGCCGCGGUAAUACGAAGGGGGCUAGCGUUGCUCGGAAUUACUGGGCGUAAAGGGCGCGUAGGCGGACAGUUUAGUCAGAGGUGAAAGCCCAGGGCUCAACCUUGGAAUUGCCUUUGAUACUGGCGAUCUUGAGUGUGAGAGAGGUAUGUGGAACUCCGAGUGUAGAGGUGAAAUUCGUAGAUAUUCGGAAGAACACCAGUGGCGAAGGCGACAUACUGGCUCAUUACUGACGCUGAGGCGCGAAAGCGUGGGGAGCAAACAGGAUUAGAAACCCGUGUAGUCC
RNAcentral lists this ribosomal RNA (425 nucleotides) under uncultured bacterium. RNAcentral's name for it is "partial 16S ribosomal RNA". It matches the Rfam family "Bacterial small subunit ribosomal RNA", at positions 354 to 796 of the family's 1533-position model. The record is from RNAcentral.